RNAcentral lists this unclassified non-coding RNA (432 nucleotides) under Zea mays. RNAcentral's name for it is "misc RNA Zm00001eb002400". The record is from RNAcentral. Lineage: Eukaryota; Viridiplantae; Streptophyta; Magnoliopsida; Poales; Poaceae.
UCCCGAAACAUGGAACAGAGGCAGACGUACGUACAACAGCACGCCGCUGCUCAACACACGACGAGGAUACAAUUUGGCAUCACAACACAAACCGCGCACACCCUUGUUAUUCAUGCAUGGAGCCAUGGACUGGUCGCGACGCGAUCGACGGCGACGCCAGCCGGCCGCUGGGCGAGCGAAUCAGUGGCAGUGCGUGGUGCAGAAGCAGCGGCGGCGGAAGCCGCGGCACCUGCCGCCGGGGAACCCCUCGGUCCUGCAGACGUUGGCGCAGUUGGACCGGCGGAGGCAGGGGCCCCGGAACCUGUGGCUCUGCGACUGGCACGUCCGCGCCUCCGCCACCGCCACCGGCCCGACCUCUGCAGCAGCACGCAGCAGCAUCUCAGACAGAUCAUCAUCAGUAGGCUGCCGCCGGCCGCCAGCGGCUGAUGAGUC